RNAcentral lists this ribosomal RNA (461 nucleotides) under uncultured Smithella sp. RNAcentral's name for it is "bacterial SSU rRNA". It matches the Rfam family "Bacterial small subunit ribosomal RNA", at positions 923 to 1382 of the family's 1533-position model. The record is from RNAcentral. Lineage: Bacteria; Pseudomonadati; Thermodesulfobacteriota; Syntrophia; Syntrophales; Smithellaceae.
GCACAAGCGGUGGAGCAUGUGGUUUAAUUCGAUGCAACGCGAAGAACCUUACCUGGGCUUGACAUCCCGGGAAUCCCUUGGAAACAAGGGAGUGCCCCUUCGGGGAACCUGGAGACAGGUGCUGCAUGGCUGUCGUCAGCUCGUGUCGUGAGAUGUAGGGUUAAGUCCCGCAACGAGCGCAACCCUUGUCUUUAAUUGCCAUCAUUGAGUUGGGCACUUUAAAGAGACUGCCGGUGUUAAACCGGAGGAAGGUGGGGAUGACGUCAAGUCCUCAUGGCCUUUAUGCCCAGGGCUACACACGUGCUACAAUGGGUGGUACAAAGAGCAGCCAGCUCGCGAGAGUGAGCAAAUCCACAAAGCCGGCCUCAGUUCAGAUUGUAGGCUGCAACUCGCCUGCAUGAAGAUGGAGUUGCUAGUAACCGCAGGUCAGCAAUACUGCGGUGAAUACGUUCCCGGGUCUU